GAUGAAGAACGUAGCGAAAUGCGAUAAGUAAUGUGAUUUGCAGAAUUCAGUGAAUCAUCGAAUCUUUGAACGCACAUUGCGCCCAUUAGCAUUCUAGUGGGCAUGCCUGUUCGAGCGUCAUUUCAACCCUUAAGCCCUGUUGCUUAGCGUUGGGAGCCUACAGUACUGUAGCUCCCCAAAGUUAGUGGCGGAGUCGGUUUCACACUCUAGACGUAGUAAUUUUUUCUCGUCUGUAGUUGAGCCGGUCCCCUGCCGUAAAACACCCAAUUUAUCAAGGUUGACCUCGGAUCAGGUAGGAAUACCCGCUGAACUUAAGCAUAUCAAUAAGCGGAGGA
This 335-nucleotide unclassified non-coding RNA is filed under the name soil metagenome. Its description in RNAcentral is "partial contains 5.8S ribosomal RNA, internal transcribed spacer 2, and large subunit ribosomal RNA". The stretch from base 1 to 120 matches the Rfam family "5.8S ribosomal RNA", at positions 35 to 154 of the family's 154-position model. The record is from RNAcentral.